ACAAAACAACGUUCCUCCAGGACACAGGUGCUGUGUCCAAAUCUAAUUAUUACUCUUCGAUUCAGAUUCAAAGCAAGAAUAAAUUAAUUCAUACUUUUAAUACCUGCCUAUACAGUACCUCUCGUCUCCAGCAGAAAUUAGCUCCGCCCACUUGCGCGUAGCCACUCUGAAUCGAACGCACCUCUCCAAUAUGGCGGACCAAUUACGCUAGCUACCUAGCUGGCACAUUUGCUUUAGUUGCUCCUUCCUUGUUGCAGUCGGAGGAAACAAAACCCCAUCAACCCAGAGCCACUAGUUUCCAGGGGACGUGUUUGCAGCUUGAAUUCCUCUCUCCAGCAGAGUUUUUUUUGCUACUACUUCGUUUCAUCAAGGUUGGAGGAAAGAGUCUCCAAGGUGACACAGCUUGGUGUCAAUAGGAGAAGGUCGCACGGCUUUAGAAGGCUCCAUGGUUUCAGGACAACAGAGAGGAACCUUACAGUGACCCAUGGAGACCACUCCUCGAUCGAACCCACCGGCUGCUCCCCUCCUAUGGAAAAACCAGCAAUGCCACACAGGCACAGGCAGCUCGACAAGGAGGCAUUGUCUGCCUGUAGAAACGCAGCGGCAACCCCUGUGGAGAAACAUGCUCCGACCAAUGAGCUGAUAAGUGAUUUGAACUGUGUCGUUUGUUAGUUUUUGCUGCAGUGUGCACGGCUUCCCUUCGCUGCUCCAGGCGGGGUUAAGGGGGAAGCGGCCUACUGUAAUUCAACAAAUGUGUAUUAGCACAUACAACAUUGGUAGAACGUGUGACUGGUUUGCUUUGAAAAUGUGAUUUAAUCAUCAAACUAACUAUUUCUAAGCUGUAGUGAUGGUAGAUGCUUCCUGUGGCUGUGGAGUAGCUCAGCUUCCAGGAGGGUGUUAGGCCGUUCUGUCUACUUUGUAUUUUAUUAGCUAUUCUGAGUAGAUUUAUUUAAAUACUGAACAUUUCUGUCAUCUUGCGUCACCGGCUUCAUCUUGCAACAGCUACUGUGGUAUUAUACUGUCGGAAAUACUGAAACUGUUUUUUUCUCUCUGCAACGGGAAUCAGUCUAGUUCCUGAGAAUGUAAAGCAGCCCCAAAGCAUGACACUCCCUCCACCAAACCUCACGGGGUGUUGUUGCUAAAGGCACAGGGUUUGGUCAUUGUACAGGGACUAUACUGACAUCUGCUGAUACUGAUCAGUUGGAAUGAGGCUUCUGACAUGUGGUUGGCCGUCAAUGGCUUCCAAGUUCACUCAAUUGAAAUAAAACACCAGUCUUUCUUGUCCA
RNAcentral lists this long non-coding RNA (1286 nucleotides) under Betta splendens (Siamese fighting fish). RNAcentral's name for it is "lncRNA (ENSBSLG00000010811.1)". The record is from RNAcentral. Lineage: Eukaryota; Metazoa; Chordata; Actinopteri; Anabantiformes; Osphronemidae.